RNAcentral lists this ribosomal RNA (600 nucleotides) under uncultured bacterium. Its description in RNAcentral is "bacterial SSU rRNA". It matches the Rfam family "Bacterial small subunit ribosomal RNA", at positions 899 to 1504 of the family's 1533-position model. The record is from RNAcentral.
ACUCAAAGGAAUUGACGGGGACCCGCACAAGCGGUGGAGCAUGUGGUUUAAUUCGAUGCAACGCGAAGAACCUUACCUGGUCUUGACAUCCUGCGAUCUUUCUAGAGAUAGAUUGGUGCCUUCGGGAACGCAGUGACAGGUGCUGCACGGCUGUCGUCAGCUCGUGUUGUGAAAUGUUGGGUUAAGUCCCGCAACGAGCGCAACCCCUAUUGAUAGUUACCAUCAUUAAGUUGGGUACUCUAUUGAGACUGCCGCUGACAAGGCGGAGGAAGGUGGGGACGACGUCAAGUCAUCAUGGCCUUUACGACCAGGGCUACACACGUGCUACAAUGGGUAUUACAGAGGGCUGCGAAGGAGCGAUCUGGAGCGAAACUCAAAAAGGUACUCUUAGUCCGGAUUGCAGUCUGCAACUCGACUGCAUGAAGUCGGAAUCGCUAGUAAUCGCAGGUCAGAAUACUGCGGUGAAUACGUUCUCGGGUCUUGUACACACCGCCCGUCACACCAUGGGAGUGGGUUGCUCCAGAAGUAGAUAGCUUAACGAAUGGGCGUUUACCACGGAGUGAUUCAUGACUGGGGUGAAGUCGUAACAAGGUAGCCGUA